This is a long non-coding RNA of Meleagris gallopavo (turkey), 1868 nucleotides long. Lineage: Eukaryota; Metazoa; Chordata; Aves; Galliformes; Phasianidae. The record is from Ensembl.
CCCCAGGGUGUUUUAUGGGGGUGCUGUGUGACAUCCCCAAUACAAAUCAGCCACCUGACAGCUCACAGCCCUUUAUUCACACAGCAGCCAUGACCCCAAUCACUGUAUUGGAGCCACUGGAGCUCUGCUGUUGCUCAUUUGCCACGCAGGAGGCCGGAGGGGAACAAUGAGCCCUGAUAUUCACUUUGCCCCAUUGAAAGUGGGCAAUGGAGAGAGGCUGUGUCUGCAUUUCUGGGCACUCAGAACUACAGCAGAGAUUGGGCACAAACGACGGUGGGAUGACACUGGGAAUGCACAGACAUCAUCCAAAGCCUCCAGGGAUGGAGCUGAGAAAGCAAAACUCCAACGGAAUUGCGUCUGUCCUGAUAGAGCAAAGCCAACAAGAAAUGCCUUUGGGAGUUCAUUUGGGGAAAAUAAAAGUAGCUUAGGGAAUAUCGGAUCAAAUCCAGCGUGGAGAAGUCUGUGGGAUCAUAGGAUGGGAACUCGAAGAAGGCAGUGGGAUCAUAGGAUCACAGAAUCACAGAACGGCCAGGGUUGGAAGAGUCCUCAAGGAUCACGAAGCUCCAACCCCCUGCCACACGCAGGGCCACCAACCUUCACAUUUCACACCAGCCCAGGCUGCCCAGGGCCCCAUCCAACCUGGCCUUGAACACCUCCAGGGAUGGACGGGGCAUCCACAGCCUCUCUGGGCAGCUGUUCCAGCACCUCACCGCUCUCUCUUUAAAGAACUUCCCCCUGACAUCCAACCUCAAUCUCCCCUCCCUCAACUUCAAACCAUUUCCCCUUGCCCCUGCAGUUAUCAACCCUUUCAAAGAGUUGAUUCCCCUCUUGUUUGUUGGCUCCUUUCAGGUAUUGAAAGGCUGCAAUGAAGUCACCCCUCAGCUUUCUUUUCUCCAGGCUGAACAAGAUGCCACGGGAUGCACCCCAUGAGAACCGUGAGGCUGCAUGCAGUCACCUUCGAUUGUGGGAAGAAAAAUGGACGCCUCCAGAGCUCUCAGGGGUCCCCAAAGCACACUGGGAGGGGGGCUCUUGGAGGCCUGUGGGGCUCCAGUGUCAAACAGGGCAUGGUAGGAGCCCUCAGGGGCACAUCAGACAGCUUUAUGUGGGCCCUGGUGUCCCGCAGAGCAUGCUGGGUGGUUGCUGGACUCGAUUAGGGAGCACUGAGACGGCCUGGAGCGCACAGAGGCCUCCUAAGGGCGCUUAGCGCUGUGCCAACGCCUUGGGGUGGGCCUGAAGGCCUUUAUGGCAGAAUAGAAGGCCUUCAGGGCACUGCAGAGCGCAAUUAUGGGCGUUCCUCAGCCUCCAAGGCCUUUGUGGCAGAACAGAAGGGCUUCAGGGCACGGCAGAGCGCAAUUAGGGAUCUAUAGGCGUACCUCAGGGCCCCACCGGAGUGCACGCUGAGAUUCGCAGCUCGCAGCCAGCCGCUCAAGUUCACCCCACUGCUGCCUCAGCCGCCCGGAAGUGCCCUUGAACGACUUCCGGAACCCGCGCAAAGAACAACCGGAAGUCGUAAUCCGGAAGUUACAAUCCAAAAAUCACAAUCCGAACGUCACGAUCCGAACGCCACGAUCCGAAAGUAGCACCCUCCCCUCCCCCUCCUUCCGGAAGUACCGCCUCCCCUCCAAUAGGAGUGGGUUUAUUGGGUAGCCACGCCCCCCACUCUGCUUGACAACCAAUGGAAAGCCGUGUUCGGGGUGAGGCCCCGCCCCGCGCCUGGGAAUUCCCCCCUCCCCGAAGGACGUCACCGCUGCCUUUAUAUGGAGAGGCGGCGGCGCUCGGCGCUCUGUUGCGCAGCAGCGAUGGGACACAGAACAACAAUGGAGCUGGAUGCGGAGCGAGCAGCGCGAGCCUCAGGUGAGGGCUGGGGG